GUUGUUUUGGUUUUGGAGAGGUACUCAUCUCUCCUUGUCACAUGAAAUGAUGCUGGAGAGACGAAGCAGUUUUCUCCUCUCUCACAGUAGGAAAGCAGCAGAACCAAUCCCAGGCGAAGACCCUGACGAGCUACCCAUAAACAUUGGAGAAUGGGUGAAACUCAGGGUCCACAAGCGAAAAAUGGAACCAACCACGAUGGAUGGGUCUGUUCCAUGUAACCAUGGUAACACCAACAGCGCUGCGGGUAGAGGAGAGGUCCGGCUAGCAUCAUCUCUCCAAUUGCAAGCAUCUCCCAGAGUGGAAGCCAUGGAUGAGCGACUGGAGGAAGGGAGAGCAGAGCCCCGAGAACAUCUGAAGGAGGAAGAAGGUCCAAGCCAAAGGACAGGAGCAGAAGGCUGAGACCAAAGGUCAGAAGAACCAACAGAGGGUUCAGCCAUAGAACCUGAAGAGUCAUCAGAUGUCGAGGAAACCAUCAUACACACACACUAUGGUUGUGAAACCAGAAAAUCGCAACCAUGGAAAAACACAUACAGGGUAUUUAUUGCUCUCCAAAUCCUACUUGUUCCCUUUGUGGACGGGGAUGUGGAGAAUAAUAAAUGGGGGAAAUCAGUGACAUACAUAGGAUUACAGGGGAGGGGGAACACAUCUGGCACACAGGCAAUGAUUCUCCAGAAACCCACCCCCACAGCCUCUCUGUCAGGAACCCAGGCAGUACCAAUUGGAAAGAAUGAUUUUGGUUGUUAAUUACUCAAUUUUAUGCAAUGGUACAACACCAGGGUUCGACAAAGAAACAGCAAUUAUACUAUUCUGAUGUUGGUCACUAGGGGGAAGGAAGUAACAUGUGAAAAUGGAUUAUCCAAUAAGGCAAUAGGUAAUAGUACAGAUGCAGCUGAAGAAUUUAAGGAGAGUGGGCACAUUGAGACUAAAUGGCCAAGGUAGGAGAAGGUUCCUAGCGUACAACCAGGCAACAAUUCCCAUCUGAUUAAAUGCAUAGGACCUCCAAAAGUACAAUGGGGAGAGUAUUUGACUUGUAGUGUAAAGCCCCUAAAUGAUAAAGGAGAUGUUGUGUUAACAGGAUUAAAACCCACAAUAACUGUGUGGAUAUAUGGAUAUAGGAAACACCACUAAUUGCCUGUCUUACACAGGCCUAAAAACAGAUACCAGUAGUUUUGAUGUGCUGGAUGGGCAACAACUGAUAACUAGGGUAAAUAUGUCAAACAUAAGCAAAGGCAUGGAGACAACUCCGGAUCAUCUCUGGAUCUGUGGGGGUAUUGGGUACAUUUCCCUCCCCAUGGGAUGGAAAGGGUGUUAUUAUCUGGGGGAAACUGAACUGACAGUAACAACAUUACUUGCUUCUGAGCUGCUGAACAGUUCUUUGCAAAUUAGUUUCAGAUCGAUUGGCAGAGCUAAAAGAGCAGUGGCUCAAAAUAAUGAAGCUUAUGGACAUGUGCCGUCUCAGGUAGAGAUGGCAGCCCUAGGAAUCUUUCCAGGUGCAGGAGUUGUAGUAAAGGGUAAGGGGAUUAACCAUUUGGCAUACUCCAUGCAGGCCCUUACUAAUUUGAUAGUACAGGGUUUUACUCAGUUAUCACUAAUUGUGCAAAUGUGAAGGCAGUAGUGACCAGAGAUGAAAGACAGAGGGGCCUACAGGUCCCUUGGAAUAAACAAUGAGGAUUACUGUGUCAUGUUGCUUCCUGACUCCUCUGUAGGACUACUGUGUUUUGCUGUUGCUUUAUGUAUAAUAAAGUGCUUGGCUAGAAAGACUGUUGAACAUUUGGGGA
Long non-coding RNA from Oncorhynchus tshawytscha (Chinook salmon), 1779 nucleotides. NCBI's taxonomy places the organism in Eukaryota, Metazoa, Chordata, Actinopteri, Salmoniformes, Salmonidae. The record is from Ensembl.